GCCGUUAAACCCCCAACUCUUGAAAAUUUGACCUCGGAUCAGGUAGGAAUACCCG
RNAcentral lists this ribosomal RNA (55 nucleotides) under Phomopsis sp. RNAcentral's name for it is "partial 28S ribosomal RNA". The record is from RNAcentral. Lineage: Eukaryota; Fungi; Ascomycota; Sordariomycetes; Diaporthales; Diaporthaceae.